Long non-coding RNA from Rhea pennata, 1196 nucleotides. RefSeq lists it as uncharacterized. The transcript has 2 exons. Lineage: Eukaryota; Metazoa; Chordata; Aves; Rheiformes; Rheidae. The record is from RefSeq and is a predicted model, not a curated record.
UCGCGGGACGGCCUCGGCGCCGCCGCUGCUCCCGCUUCCCCACCGGGCCCGGGAGGGCCGCAGCCUCCCGCAGCACCGGUCCCGGCUCUGCGGAGCCGCUGACCUCCCCCGCCAGCUGCCUGCCGCAGCGCGUUUUCAGCCGGGCUGUUCCCACCCGAGGCGGGAGGCCCUUUCCCCUUCGUGCCGGCCUGCUUAGUCGACAUGGGGCCGCCCAGGCCAGUGCUGUAGUGGUGGCAGCCUGGUCAUCUGUACCUGCAGCGCUUCGUGCUUGCUUAUCUGCUGCUGCUGAGCUGGGGCCGGGUGCAGGCAGGUGCCUUACCACCGCAGGCAGGGAUUUACCAAAUUUGGGCUGUCGUCGGAAGUCAAGCAGUGGUGCUCAAGGAAGCUUUAUGCGUGUAUAUUGUACACCUGCCUUCUGGCUCAAACAAGGUUUAUGGCCCAAUGGAUUUACCAUAAAAGAAAGGACUGGCACAGGAGUUUGUUCAGGGAAUGAAAUUAUUUACAGGCAAUUAUUCAUCUGGAUUUUCAAACUAAUCCAGAGCAAAACUGCUCUGAAAGUAAAUACUGUUUGGGAUGUGUUUUCUGUUUUCUUUUCAAGAACUGUCAUUCUCCAGAACAGCAGUUUCUAAACAGAACCUCAUUUAACAUGCUGGAACUCUACAGGCUUCACUGCUAUUAGAAAAACAUGUACACACUGCUGAGCAUAUUAAAUGAAAGAAUAAUAUGCUAAACUUGCAGGUUAUUAGUUUCCAAUUUUUAAUUUACUUUAAUGUUUUCAAGCAAAAAAUAAGUGUGAAUUAAAUUCCUUAAAUGUUAAAGUAAUAGUAAGUAGCAUCUAAAUAGAAAACUAAAAAGAUAAAGCAUGUCUGGAAUAAUACUAUCUAAUUUUUAAUUUCAAUAUAUAUCUUGUUCAGCAUUUUAUUAAACACUUUUUCAUCACCAGUUGGCCUUUUAAGAUCACUACAGAGAAGAGAAGUAAAAAUAUAACCCUGAAAAGUACAGCCUUGCAUCAGGUUGCCGAAGUUGGCUUAUUUGAAAGCAAAGGUGUAGCUUGAGCCAGUGUAACCUAAUUGUAUUCCUAAACUGGCAAAAUAUUCUCAGUAAGGAUAUGUAACAUAAUACAGCUACAUGCCAUGAGGUCUCUUCUAGUCCCAAACUAAGCUGUGUGUUUAAAUAAUAUUAAAGCCAGUUACUCA